UUGCCAUAGACCCGAAACCGGGUGACCUACGCAUGAGCAGGUUGAAGUGGGGGUGAAACCCCAUGGAGGACCGAACCGACCCCCGUUGCAAUGGUGGCGGAUGACUUGUGUGUAGCGGUGAAAUUCCAAUCGAACUCGGAGAUAGCUGGUUCUCCCCGAAAUAGCUUUAGGGCUAGCGUUGUGUUAGAUUACCGGAGGUAAAGCACUGAAUGGUUUAGGGGCUGAUAAAGUUACCGACGCCUAUCAAACUCUGAAUGCCGGAUAAUUGAUGCACAGCAGUCAGACAGUGUGAGAUAAGUUUCAUUGUCAAAAGGGAAACAGCCCAGACCUACAGCUAAGGUCCCAAAUGUAUGCUAAGUGGAAAACGAUGUGGAAUUGCGAAAACAACCAGGAUGUUGGCUCAGAAGCAGCCACACAUUAAAAGAGUGCGUAAUAGCUCACUGGUCGAGUGACUCUGCGCGGAAAAUGUAACGGGGCUAAGCAUACAACCGAAGCUUAGGAUUGUCAAAAGACAGUGGUAGGGGAGCGUUCUGUAUGGGGCGAAGUCGCAGCGGGAGCAGCGGUGGACUGUACAGAAGUGAGAAUGCCGGAAUGAGUAGCGAGAAUUAUGUGGGAAUCAUAAUGGCCGAAAAUCUAAGGUUUCUUGGGGAAGGUUCGUCCGCCCAAGGUAAGUCGGGAGCUAAGCUCAGGCCGAGAGGCGUAGGCGAUGCACAUACGGUAGAAAUUCCGUAACCACCGAACUUUAAGCAUGAGGGACACUUUGAGAUAGCGGGACCCGGGCGUUGGUAGACCCGGGCGAAAGGGACCGAAAUAUAGUAGGGAAGUCCGCGAUGCUCGGAGGCGAGAAAAGCUCAUGUGUAUACUAAGGUGCCCGUACCGCAAACCGACACAGGUAGAUGAGGAGAGAAUCCUAAGGCCAACGGGAGAAGGGUUGUUAAGGAACUCGGCAAGAUGACCCCGUAACUUCGGAAGAAGGGGAGCCUCGAAAGAGGCCGCAGUGAAUAGGCCCAAGCAACUGUUUACCAAAAACACAGGUUUAUGCUAAAUCGAAAGAUGACGUAUAUGAGCUGACGCCUGCCCGGUGCCGGAAGGUUAAGAGGAGAUGUGAGCCGCAAGGUGAAGCAUUGAAUUGAAGCCCCGGUAAACGGCGGCCGUAACUAUAACGGUCCUAAGGUAGCGAAAUUCCUUGUCAGGUAAGUUCUGACCCGCACGAA
RNAcentral lists this ribosomal RNA (1214 nucleotides) under human gut metagenome. RNAcentral describes it as "bacterial LSU rRNA". It matches the Rfam family "Bacterial large subunit ribosomal RNA", at positions 704 to 1996 of the family's 2925-position model. The record is from RNAcentral.